This 22-nucleotide non-coding RNA is filed under the name Arabidopsis thaliana (thale cress). The record is from RNAcentral. RNAcentral also lists the same sequence under 1 other name. Lineage: Eukaryota; Viridiplantae; Streptophyta; Magnoliopsida; Brassicales; Brassicaceae.
GGUGGUGGUGCAUGGCCGUUCU